AGCGAACGCUGGCGGCAGGCUUAACACAUGCAAGUCGAGCGGGCAUCCUUGUGGUGUCAGCGGCAGACGGGUGAGUAACGCGUGGGAACGUGCCCUUCGGUUCGGAAUAACUCAGGGAAACUUGAGCUAAUACCGGAUACGUGCGAGAGCAGAAAGGUUUAUCUGCCGAAGGGUCGGCCCGCGUCUGAUUAGCUAGUUGGUGAGGUUAUGGCUCACCAAGGCGACGAUCAGUAGCUGGUCUGAGAGGAUGAUCAGCCACACUGGGACUAAGACACGGCCCAGACUCCUACGGGAGGCAGCAGUGGGGAAUAUUGGACAAUGGGGGCAACCCUGAUCCAGCCAUGCCGCGUGAGUGAUGACGGCCUUAGGGUUGUAAAGCUCUUUUCUUCGGGACGAUAAUGACGGUACCGGAGGAAUAAGCCCCGGCUAACUUCGUG
RNAcentral lists this ribosomal RNA (437 nucleotides) under uncultured bacterium. RNAcentral describes it as "partial 16S ribosomal RNA". It matches the Rfam family "Bacterial small subunit ribosomal RNA", at positions 29 to 507 of the family's 1533-position model. The record is from RNAcentral.